GGGGGUGUAAAGGCUUCGACGGGGACUUUGAGCCUUGGUAAGCGAGCAGCGGUGCGGAACCGCUUUAAAAGCCGCAAUUUAAAAACAAACGACAACUCUACAGUUGCAUUAGCAGCCUAAGCGCUGCUCGUCCUGCCCGAGAGGACCACGGCUCGGGUAAGGGCGUCGAUCAGUGGUGAACGCCUGCAGGCACACGCCUUUGACCUGCCGGUGUACUAAAGGCUACCGACCGCGAAAGCCCGUCGCCGGGCGCUCGCGCAAGGGAAGCUCAAAACGGCGAAUACGCUCGUAGAAAGCCUUGGUAAAGGGUUUUCGGACAGGGGUUCGAUUCCCCUCACCUCCACCA
This 346-nucleotide transfer-messenger RNA is filed under the name Acutalibacteraceae. Its description in RNAcentral is "RUG592 sp902792115 Standard tmRNA". It matches the Rfam family "transfer-messenger RNA". From Rfam's summary of the family: Bacterial tmRNA, also known as 10Sa RNA or SsrA, is named for its dual tRNA and mRNA-like properties. Its role is to liberate the mRNA from a stalled ribosome. Lineage: Bacteria; Bacillati; Bacillota; Clostridia; Eubacteriales. RNAcentral also lists the same sequence under 1 other name. The record is from RNAcentral.